Molecule: transfer RNA, 64 nt
Filed under: Phyllotreta cruciferae
Lineage: Eukaryota; Metazoa; Arthropoda; Insecta; Coleoptera; Chrysomelidae
Description: tRNA-Cys
Source: RNAcentral
AGCUUUAUAUUCAAUUAUGAUUUUAAAUUGCAAAUUUAAAGGUAAAUUAUAAAUUUUAAGGCUU